GACGAACGCUGACGGCGUGCCUAAUACAUGCAAGUCGAGCGGACGAAUCGAAAGCUUGCUUUUGCUUCGUUAUCGGCGGACGGGUGAGUCACACGUGUUCAACCUGCCCUGUAGACGGGGAUAACACCGAGAAAUCGGUUCUAAUACCGGAUAACACGAAAUGUCGCAUUACGUUUCGUUGAAAGACGGCGCAAGCUGUCGCUACAGGAUGGGCCCGCGGCGCAUUAGCUAGUUGGUGAGGUAACGGCUCACCAAGGCGACGAUGCGUAGCCGACCUGAGAGGGUGAACGGACAGACUGGGACUGAGAAACGGCAGAGACUCCGACGGGAAGAAGCAGUAGGGAAUCUUACGCAAGGGACGAAAGGCGGACGGAGCAACGCCGCGUGAGCGAAGAAGGACUUAGGGUCGGAAAGCUCUGUUGUUAGGGAAGAACAAGUAACGCAGUAACUGGCGUUACCGUGACGGUACCGAACGAGAAAGCCACGGCUAACUACGUG
This 498-nucleotide ribosomal RNA is filed under the name uncultured bacterium. Its description in RNAcentral is "partial 16S ribosomal RNA". It matches the Rfam family "Bacterial small subunit ribosomal RNA", at positions 28 to 507 of the family's 1533-position model. The record is from RNAcentral.